Molecule: long non-coding RNA, 1779 nt
Filed under: Mus musculus (house mouse)
Lineage: Eukaryota; Metazoa; Chordata; Mammalia; Rodentia; Muridae
Description: long non-coding RNA chr4:41174057-41175836
Source: RNAcentral
UAUUGAUUACCCAUAUUCACCACCUACCUUCAGAUUCUUGACCAAAAUGUGGCACCCCAACAUUUAUGAGGUAAGAGAUAUUUGUCAUAACUUUCUCUGUGCUUUUAGUUUUUAGAUUAGUUGUUUAAAAAGAGAUGAGGAUUUUACCAGUCAAGGUCCUGAGUUUGAUCAUCAGCACCACAUAAAAUAAGUUACUUGGGCUAGAGGGCAUGGCUUAGUGGUAGAGCAUUUGCUUAGCAUGCACAAGAUCUGAAUUCGGUCAGAACACCACAGCCCCUGCCCACCUCUAAAUUGAAGUGUAUAUCUUAGUAUAUCUUAGUAAAUUGUGUUGUGCUGUAAUCACAGAGAGAUAUUCAUGAUUUUUGCUCUUCUACUUUGUAGUAUCUGGCUUAAUAAUUUAAAAUAAGGGUAGUUUUAUAAUAUGUAGUAAUUAUACUCCAGUUAAAGAUGGAGUCUUUGUAACUCAUUGCUAAGAUUAUAAUGCACAUGUGUUAACAAUUACAUUUUAAAACUUUAGUAAAGUAUUAUAAGUGUGUUGUGUGCCUGUCCUCUAACUUCAGAGCAAGGGUCACCUGUUGCUGUGAGCAGAGACUCAGCUUUUUGGGGGGAUUUCUCCUACUUGAUGUAGACUGGCUUCCUUUCAGGAGUUACUGCUGAGCAUAUGAGCCUCUUUUGGAGUAAAUCCAAGGCGAGGUUCUUCUGUGGACACAUCUGUGUGCCUGAAGACAGCAUUUCUGCUAGGACUGUUGGUUGAAACAUGAAACACACUUAGCUUUGGGCUAAAUCAAGACAAUACUGAGUAAUGUGUUAGCCUUUCCUAUGAGGUGUCUUCAUUGCCUUUCCUUUUAUAUUUGAGACCAGCUUUCCUAAUGUAUUUUAGGCUGUCUUUCCACUUGUCCUUGGAACCUCCCACGUGGGGUUCUGGGCAUGCACAGUUUUUGUUUUUCCAGCCAGAACAAACCUAACAAAUGGUGAUGUGUGGUUACCUCUUCAGAAGCAGCCUCCUUUACUGUUUAACCUAAUCCUAAGGACCUGCAUGCUCAAUGAGCAGAGGCACCGCAGCUUGAGUUUAUAACCUACAUGGUGCAUUGUGGAUGGAGAGAACUGACUCUUGAGAGUUGUCCUCUGGUCUUUACACGUACCAUGGCACCCCUCCCUCAGUAAAUACAUACAUGUCAAAAAACAGCAGCUGGGGCCAGCAUCGUGGCUCUGCCUUUAACCGCGACAGAAGCAGGUGAGUCUCAGUUGGAGGCCAGUCAUGACUACAAAGAGUGUUCUGGGAUAGUCAGGGACACAGAAAAACCCUUUAUGGGAUGGCCCAAAAGGAAGUAAACUUUACUGUAAUAUUUGUGAAUUUAAUUAUUUUAAAAAUACUAUGUAAAAUUAAUGAAGAUGAAGAAGGAAUAUAGAAAGAAAGAAAUUUAUUUUGAGCCAUAGAGAUGAGUCAGCAGUGAAGAGCGCAUACCACUUUCGCAGAGGGGCCCGGUUACGCUCCUGUUGUUGUCAAGUGCAAGUGCAGAACUGUAGCACCAGCUCCAGGGAUCUGACACCGUAGUGUCUGCAGGCACCUACGUUCUCAUGCAUAUAACUGAAUCCUACAUACUCAGAAUUAAAGAUGCAUCUUUAAAAACAAAAUAAAUUUAACACGGACCUGCCGUCAGUGAUUAUACUGUACAGUAAGAUUCCUUUCUGCAUGGGGCUGGAGAGAGGACUCAGUGCUUAAGAGCCCUGUGUGCUCUUCCAGAGGUCCUGAGGUCAAUUCCCAGCAACCACAUGAUG